GGCGAGGACGGGUCGCUGGUCUGAGAGGACGGCCAGCCAGACGGGGACUGGGACACGGCCCCGACUCCUACGGGAGGCAGCAGUGGGGGAUCUUGGACAAUGGCCGCAAGGCUGAUCCAGCGACGCCGCGUGGGGGAGGAAGGGCUUCGGCCUGUAAACCCCUGUUGGCGGGGACGAGGCAGGACGGUACCCGCCGAGGAAGCCCCGGCUAACUCCGUGCCAGCAGCCGCGGUAAGACGGAGGGGGCGAGCGUUGUCCGGAGUCACUGGGCGUAAAGGGUCCGUAGGCGGUGGGGUAAGUGGCGCGUGAAAGCCCCAGGCUCAACCUGGGUGAGGUCGCGCCAAACUGCCCCGCUUGAGGGCCGGAGAGGGGAGCGGAACUGCCGGAGUAGCGGUGAAAUGCUUAGAUAUCGGCAGGAACGCCAGUGGCGAAGGCGGCUCCCUGGACGGCUCCUGACGCUGAGGGACGAAAGCCAGGGGAGCGAACCGGAUUAGAUACCCGGGUAGUCCUGGCCCUAAACGUUGGGCACUAGGUGUGGGGGGUAUCGACCCUCCCCGUGCCGCAGCUAACGCGUUAAGUGCCCCGCCUGGGGAGUACGGCCGCAAGGUUGAAACUCAAAGGAAUUGACGGGGGCCCGCACAAGCGGUGGAGCAUGUGGCUUAAUUCGAUGCAACGCGAAGAACCUUACCAGGGCUUGACAUCCCCGGAACCCCCUGGAAACAGGGGGGUGCCCCCGCAAGGGGGAGCCGGGAGACAGGUGGUGCAUGGCUGUCGUCAGCUCGUGCUGUGAGGUGUUGGGUUAAGUCCCGCAACGAGCGCAACCCUCGCCCUUAGUUGCCAGCGGUUCGGCCGGGCACUCUAAGGGGACUGCCCGCGUAAGCGGGAGGAAGGUGGGGACGACGUCAAGUCAGCAUGCCCCUUAUGCUCUGGGCUGCACACAUGCUACAAUGGCCGGCACAAAGGGUUCCGAAACCGCGAGGUGGAGGCAAUCCCAAAAAACCGGUCCCAGUUCGGAUCGCAGUCUGCAACUCGACUGCGUGAAGCCGGAAUCGCUAGUAACCGCCGAUCAGCAGUGCGGCGGUGAAUACGUUCCCGGGCCUUGUACACACCGCCCGUCACACCACGAAAGUCGGUUCUGCCCGAAGCCGGUGGCCCAACCCUUCCCGGGAGGGAGCCGUCGAAGGCAGGGCCGGCGAUUGGGGUGAAGUCGUAACAAGGUAGCCGUAGCGGAAGCUGCGGCUGGAUCACCUCCUUUCUACGGAG
RNAcentral lists this ribosomal RNA (1263 nucleotides) under Chloroflexota bacterium. RNAcentral's name for it is "bacterial SSU rRNA". It matches the Rfam family "Bacterial small subunit ribosomal RNA", at positions 272 to 1533 of the family's 1533-position model. Lineage: Bacteria; Bacillati; Chloroflexota. The record is from RNAcentral.